RNAcentral lists this long non-coding RNA (1133 nucleotides) under Brachypodium distachyon (stiff brome). RNAcentral's name for it is "long non-coding RNA (BDIS_LNC004896)". Lineage: Eukaryota; Viridiplantae; Streptophyta; Magnoliopsida; Poales; Poaceae. The record is from RNAcentral.
AGGGAGAGAGAAGAAGAGAGAGAUGGACGGCUUCGAGGAAGGCUCACCGGACUUCGUCGGCGAGGGAGAAAACGGCGGCGCGGGCGGUCGGACUCUGGCGAGAAAUCAGGGCGGCCUAGCAGCGUGAUAGCGAGGGGGAGCAGAGGGGAAGAGGAGAGGGGGUCGCGGGGCUUAAAAGGACGCGCUCGGGCGUGCAAAAGGAAGGGCGGAGGAGGAGAUUGCGACGGUGAGCACGCGGCGGCGGAAAAGGCAGGCGGCGCGGCGGACACGGGGCUUUCCUUCCGGGGAAGAAUACCCCGAUAGGUGGGGCCCACCUGUCGGUGGCUCACGCGGCGCGCGCGAGGGAGUUGGGCCGGUUCGGCCCAAUUCGGCCGGGCCGGUCCGUUUGCUCCUUUUUUUUUCUUUUACCCUUUUCUUUUUCUGUUUUUCUUAUUCCUUUGAUAUCUUUUGAUUUUGAACUCCAAAUUGGUCCAAAUAAAUCCCAGAAAAUUUGUAAAAUCAUGUUCUACCAUGAUACAACUUUUGGAAGUAGUUUCUCUUCAAAAUAAAAUAUAUAAAAAUACAUUUGCCCUAUAAAUGCCUUUAGGGCCAUAUAUCUAUUUAAAUAAAAUACUUUUUCAACUCCAAAUAAUUAUCCAAAAAUUAUGGGAUAGCUUAUAUAUGCACGAAACCCAUUUUAUACAUAAAACCUAUUGGUUUGAAAAUCCAAAAUUCAAAUGGGUGUAAACCCUAGGGUUCAAAAUGAAACAAAGUCUUUUAAAGCCCUUUUGAGAUUCAAAAUUUGAAUUCAAAUACGCAAUUGUGGCAUGAUGCUCAUGGGUGCAAUGCAUAUGUAAAAGUUUGAAAUUUUGGGAUGUUACAGACCUAACCCCCUUAAGAUGAAUCUCGUCCUCGAGAUUCGGUGUGGUUAGCAAAAAGGUGUGGGUGGUCUUCUUUAAGAUCAUCUUCGCGUUCCCAAGUGGCUUCCUCUUCAGUGUGAUGGUCCCACUGAACCUUGCAAAACUUGAUAGUCUUGGAUCAGGUCUGUCUCUCAGCUGUAUCUAAGAUCCUGACCGGUUUCUCCUCAUAGGUGAGGUCACUCUACAAUUGGACUUCCUCAAGUGGAAUUGUAUCCCUCAGGGGUGUGUCGGCCA